Molecule: ribosomal RNA, 460 nt
Filed under: uncultured bacterium
Lineage: Bacteria
Description: partial 16S ribosomal RNA
Rfam family: Bacterial small subunit ribosomal RNA
Source: RNAcentral
CCUACGGGGGGCAGCAGUGAGGAAUAUUGGUCAAUGGACGAGAGUCUGAACCAGCCAAGUAGCGUGAAGGAUGACUGCCCUAUGGGUUGUAAACUUCUUUUAUAUGGGAAUAAAACGAUCCACGUGUGGGAUUUUGUAUGUACCAUAUGAAUAAGGAUCGGCUAACUCCGUGCCAGCAGCCGCGGUAAUACGGAGGAUCCGAGCGUUAUCCGGAUUUAUUGGGUUUAAAGGGAGCGUAGGUGGAUUGUUAAGUCAGUUGUGAAAGUUUGGGGCUCAACCGUAACAUUGCAGUUGAAACUGGCAGUCUUGAGUACAGUAGAGGUAGGCGGAAUGCGUGGUGUAGCGGUGAAAUGCUUAGAUAUCACGAAGAACUCCGAUUGCGAAGGCAGCUCACUGGACUGCAACUGACACUGAAGCUCGAAAGUGUGGGUAUCGAACAGGAUUAGAUACCCGAGUAGUC